Molecule: ribosomal RNA, 204 nt
Filed under: Tylenchorhynchus leviterminalis
Lineage: Eukaryota; Metazoa; Nematoda; Chromadorea; Rhabditida; Telotylenchidae
Description: partial 18S ribosomal RNA
Rfam family: Eukaryotic small subunit ribosomal RNA
Source: RNAcentral
UUGAUUACGUCCCUGCCCUUUGUACACACCGCCCGUCGCUGCCCGGGACUGAGCCAUUUCGAGAAACUUGGGGACCGUGGAUCCGGUGGCUUUCGGGUCGCCGUUUUCGUGGGAACCAAUUUAAUCGCAGUGGCUUGAACCGGGCAAAAGUCGUAACAAGGUAGCUGUAGGUGAACCUGCUGCUGGAUCAUUACAUACCGUGAU